CCUACGGGAGGCAGCAGUGAGGAAUAUUGGUCAAUGGAGGCAACUCUGAACCAGCCAUGCCGCGUGAAGGAUGACGGCCCUAUGGGUUGUAAACUUCUUUUGAAUAGGAAGAAACUUAUCUACGUGUAGAUAACUGACGGUACUAUUAGAAUAAGGAUCGGCUAACUCCGUGCCAGCAGCCGCGGUAAUACGGAGGAUCCAAGCGUUAUCCGGAUUCAUUGGGUUUAAAGGGUCCGUAGGCGGGUUUUUAAGUCAGUGGUGAAAGCCGACAGCUCAACUGUCGAACUGCCAUUGAUACUGGAGACCUUGAGUACAAAUGAAGUAGGCGGAAUGAGUCAUGUAGCGGUGAAAUGCAUAGAUAUGACUCAGAACACCGAUUGCGAAGGCAGCUUACUAACAUGUAACUGACGCUGAGGGACGAAAGCGUGGGGAGCGAACAGGAUUAGAUACCCUGGUAGUCCACGCCGUAAACGAUCAUCACUCGCUGUUGGCGAUAUACUGUCAGCGGCCAAGCGAAAGUAUUAAGUGAUGCACCUGGGGAGUACGCCGGCAACGGUGAAACUCAAAGGAAUUGACGGA
This 579-nucleotide ribosomal RNA is filed under the name uncultured bacterium. Its description in RNAcentral is "bacterial SSU rRNA". It matches the Rfam family "Bacterial small subunit ribosomal RNA", at positions 338 to 917 of the family's 1533-position model. The record is from RNAcentral.